This 248-nucleotide ribosomal RNA is filed under the name uncultured bacterium. RNAcentral describes it as "partial 16S ribosomal RNA". It matches the Rfam family "Bacterial small subunit ribosomal RNA", at positions 85 to 334 of the family's 1533-position model. The record is from RNAcentral.
CCGAUGGCGACCGGCGCACGGGUGAGUAACACGUAUCCAACCUGCCCUUUACUCGGGGAUAGCCUUUCGAAAGAAAGAUUAAUACCCGAUAGCAUAAUGAUUCCGCAUGGCUUCAUUAUUAAAGGAUUCCGGUAAAGGAUGGGGAUGCGUUCCAUUAGGUUGUUGGUGAGGUAACGGCUCACCAAGCCUUCGAUGGAUAGGGGUUCUGAGAGGAAGGUCCCCCACAUUGGAACUGAGACACGGUCCAA